AUUGAACGCUGGCGGCAUGCUUUACACAUGCAAGUCGAACGGUAACAGGUUAAGCUGACGAGUGGCGAACGGGUGAGUAAUGCAUCGGAACGUGCCCGGUCGUGGGGGAUAACGCAGCGAAAGCUGCGCUAAUACCGCAUACGAUCUGAGGAUGAAAGCGGGGGACCGUAAGGCCUCGCGCGAUCGGAGCGGCCGAUGUCAGAUUAGGUAGUUGGUGGGGUAAAGGCUCACCAAGCCAACGAUCUGUAGCUGGUCUGAGAGGACGAACAGCCACACUGGGACUGAGACACGGCACAGACUCCUACGGGAGGCAGCAGUGGGGAAUUUUGGACAAUGGGCGAAAGCCUGAUCCAGCAAUGCCGCGUGCAGGAAGAAGGCCUUCGGGUGGUAAACUGCUUUUGUACGGAGCGAAAAGGUCUCCUCUAAUACAGGGGGCUCAUGACGGUACCGUAAGAAUAAGCACCGGCUAACUACGUGCCAGCAGCCGCCGUAA
RNAcentral lists this ribosomal RNA (493 nucleotides) under uncultured bacterium. Its description in RNAcentral is "partial 16S ribosomal RNA". It matches the Rfam family "Bacterial small subunit ribosomal RNA", at positions 29 to 523 of the family's 1533-position model. The record is from RNAcentral.